This 466-nucleotide ribosomal RNA is filed under the name uncultured bacterium. RNAcentral describes it as "partial 16S ribosomal RNA". It matches the Rfam family "Bacterial small subunit ribosomal RNA", at positions 28 to 507 of the family's 1533-position model. The record is from RNAcentral.
GAUGAACGCUGGCGGCGUGCUUAACACAUGCAAGUCGAACGGCAAGGCCCAAGCUUGCUUGGGUUCUCGAUUGGCGAAGGGGUGCGUAACACGUGGGUGAUCUACCCUGCACUUCCGGGGAGGCCUAGGAAACUGGGCUUACUAUCGGAUAGGAUCACAUCUUCGGUUGUGUGGUGGAAAGCUUUUCGGGGUGGGAUGAUUUCGCGGGCUAUAGGCUUGUUGGUGGGGUGAUGGCCUACCAGGGCGUCGGCGGGUAGCCGGCCUGUGGGGGUGUACGGCGACAUUGACACUGAGAGGAGGCCCAGACGCCGAAGGGUGGAAGCAGGGGGGAAUAUUGCACAAGGGGUGCAAGCCGGAUGCAGCGGCGCCGCGUGGGGGAUGACGGCCUUGGGGUUGAAGACUCGUUGCGCUAGAGACGAAGCGUUAUGUGACGGUACCUGGAGAAGAAGCACCGGCUAACUACGUG